This 216-nucleotide ribosomal RNA is filed under the name Glomeromycotina sp. RNAcentral describes it as "partial small subunit ribosomal RNA". The stretch from base 40 to 216 matches the Rfam family "Eukaryotic small subunit ribosomal RNA", at positions 686 to 864 of the family's 1831-position model. Lineage: Eukaryota; Fungi; Glomeromycota. The record is from RNAcentral.
GGGUCAGUAGGUUGGUCGUGCCACCGGUACGUACUGGUCUCACUGAUUCCUCCUUCCUGAAGAACCGUAAUGCCAUUAAUCUGGUGUUGCGGGGAAACAGGACUGUUACUUUGAAAAAAUUAGAGUGUUUAAAGCAAGCAAACGCUUGAAUACAUUAGCAUGGAAUAAUGAAAUAGGACGAUCGAUCCUAUUUUGUUGGUUUCUAGGAUUGACGUA